GUGGGGAAUAUUGGGCAAUGGGCGAAAGCCUGACCCAGCAACGCCGCGUGAGGGAAGAAGGCCUUCGGGUUGUAAACCUCUGUCUUUGGUGACGAAACAAAUGACGGUAGCCAGAGAGGAAGCCCCGGCUAACUACGUGCCAGCAGCCGCGGUAAUACGUAGGGGGCGAGCGUUGUCCGGAAUUACUGGGCGUAAAGGGUGCGUAGGUGGCCUUUUAAGUUGGAUGUGAAAUACCCGGGCUUAACUUGGGGGGUGCAUCCAAAACUGGGAGGCUAGAGUGCAGGAGAGGAAAGCGGAAUUCCUAGUGUAGCGGUGAAAUGCGUAGAUAUUAGGAGGAACACCAGUGGCGAAGGCGGCUUUCUGGACUGUAACUGACACUGAGGCACGAAAGCGUGGGGAGCAAACAGGAUUAGAAACCCUGGUAGUCC
RNAcentral lists this ribosomal RNA (428 nucleotides) under uncultured bacterium. RNAcentral's name for it is "partial 16S ribosomal RNA". It matches the Rfam family "Bacterial small subunit ribosomal RNA", at positions 354 to 796 of the family's 1533-position model. The record is from RNAcentral.